This 450-nucleotide ribosomal RNA is filed under the name uncultured bacterium. Its description in RNAcentral is "partial 16S ribosomal RNA". It matches the Rfam family "Bacterial small subunit ribosomal RNA", at positions 354 to 796 of the family's 1533-position model. The record is from RNAcentral.
GUGGGGAAUUUUGGACAAUGGGCGCAAACCUGAUCCAGCCAUUCCGCGUGCAGGAUGAAGGCCUUCGGGUUGUAAACUGCUUUUGUACGGAACGAAAAGCCUCUGGUUAAUACCCGGGGGUCAUGACGGUACCGUAAGAAUAAGCACCGGCUAACUACGUGCCAGCAGCCGCGGUAAUACGUAGGGUGCGAGCGUUAAUCGGCAUUACUGGGCGUAAAGCGUGCGCAGGCGGUGAUGUAAGACAGUUGUGAAAUCCCCGGGCUCAACCUGGGAACUGCAUCUGUGACUGCAUUGCUGGAGUGCGGCAGAGGGGGAUGGAAUUCCGCGUGUAGCAGUGAAAUGCGUAGAUAUGCGGAGGAACACCGAUGGCGAAGGCAAUCCCCUGGGCCUGCACUGACGCUCAUGCACGAAAGCGUGGGGAGCAAACAGGAUUAGAAACCCCGGUAGUCC